UACGAACUGCGCGAACGUUAUUCGGAAUCACUGGGCUUACAGGGUGCGUAGGCGGUCUGUUAAGCAGGGUGUGAAAUCCCUCGGCUCAACCGAGGAACAGCGCUCUGAACUGACAGGCUUGAGUAUGCUAGGGGUGUGCGGAACUUCCGGUGGAGCGGUGAAAUGUGUUGAUAUCGGAAGGAACACCGGUGGCGAAAGCGGCACACUGGGGCAUUACUGACGCUGAGGCACGAAAGCCAGGGGAGCGAACGGG
This 253-nucleotide ribosomal RNA is filed under the name uncultured Planctomyces sp. RNAcentral's name for it is "partial 16S ribosomal RNA". It matches the Rfam family "Bacterial small subunit ribosomal RNA", at positions 524 to 776 of the family's 1533-position model. Lineage: Bacteria; Pseudomonadati; Planctomycetota; Planctomycetia; Planctomycetales; Planctomycetaceae. The record is from RNAcentral.